GGUAUUUGCAUUUUGAUUAUGCAUGGGAAGAGUUCUAUGCCAAUUGUUUGUCAGCCUAACAAGAUGGAUAGAAAGGUUCCCAUGCAUAAUCAAAAUGCAAAUACCAAUGAAUCAAGGAAUUUCCAUCCAAACAUGAUACAGACACCUUAAUUGACUAAGAAGCACAUCAAGGUAAAAUCCAAUCUUAUAGAUUUCGGGUGCUUAAACCAGUCCUGUAAGGUUUUUUAGCCCUUACCCCUGACUACUAUUGGUCUCAUUUUCAAUGUUUGCAUUUCCUGGAUUAACAAAUCCGCUUUUGUACAAAAGGUGCAAUUCAUAAAUAUGGGCAAGUCUUACUGUUUUCGUGCUGCUUCUUUCCCCCACUUUCCAUUGAUUUUCUGAAGUACUUGUUGAUGUUUUCCCAUUUCUCUUUACACUUCUUUGCAGUUCGGUUAUAGCCCAUAUUGCACAUUCCAACAGAUAUCUCAUCCCAAAUAUUAGAGCAUUUGGUGCCCAUAGCUCGGAACUUCUGUUCCAAAGCAGUUCGUAGCAUUAUAAGGGCUUGUACUUCAGCCUCUGGCCAUCUUCUAUUACUUGGAUCACACUUGAAAUCAUUUUGAAUGGAAAUACUGCUUGCAUCUUUUUCUCCAUGUUUCUCUGCAUGUGAGGUGAUUGCUGUUAAAGGUUGAGGGAUUUCAAUUUUAUCGCCCAUCACAUUCUGAAUAAGGGAAAUGAGGGCUACGUUACGAGCAUUCUCUUGGGCCCUUAGCUCUUCAUCCCUUCUCAUCCUCUCUCUCUCCUGCUGUUUCCAAGCUUCUUCUCUUAUCAUUCUUUCCCUCUCUAUCCUCUCCAUCGUCUCUAUCAACUGCUUAUGCAUCUGCUCUUGCUUCUCCAUGACCUUUGAUACCAAGUUUUCCAAAAAAUCCUUAAGUUUUUCCCUAGUUCUUCUUUUUCUCUUCCGACCAACACAUCCCUUAAUGAUGCCUGCUGAUGAAUCAUCAUCUGAAAAUGAACUGGAUUCAACCUCCAAUAAACCUCUAACACCAUUCGGGUGCUGAUUCUCUCCACCCGCAUCCGACCCAAUUCCCGCCGAACUAUCCGCUACCAAACACGGAGCACCAGUAACCCCAAAGCUAUUCAGCACCAUCUCACUGGCCUCUGCUUUCACUGGCGGCUUGAAAUACUCGC
Molecule: unclassified non-coding RNA, 1167 nt
Filed under: Hevea brasiliensis (rubber tree)
Lineage: Eukaryota; Viridiplantae; Streptophyta; Magnoliopsida; Malpighiales; Euphorbiaceae
Source: RNAcentral